AACGAACGCUGGCGGCAGGCUUAACACAUGCAAGUCGAACGGUAACAGGAAACAGCUUGCUGUUUCGCUGACGAGUGGCGGACGGGUGAGUAAUGUCUGGGAAACUGCCUGAUGGAGGGGGAUAACUACUGGAAACGGUAGCUAAUACCGCAUAACGUCGCAAGACCAAAGAGGGGGACCUUCGGGCCUCUUGCCAUCGGAUGUGCCCAGAUGGGAUUAGCUAGUAGGUGGGGUAACGGCUCACCUAGGCGACGAUCCCUAGCUGGUCUGGGGGGAUGACCAGCCACACUGGAACUGAGACACGGUCCAGACUCCUACGGGAGGCAGCAGUGGGGAAUAUUGCACAAUGGGCGCAAGCCUGAUGCAGCCAUGCCGCGUGUAUGAAGAAGGCCUUCGGGUUGUAAAGUACUUUCAGCGGGGAGGAAGGGAGUAAAGUUAAUACCUUUGCUCAUUGACGUUACCCGCAGAAGAAGCACCGGCUAACUCCGUGCCAGCCGCCGCGGUAA
This 506-nucleotide ribosomal RNA is filed under the name uncultured bacterium. RNAcentral describes it as "partial 16S ribosomal RNA". It matches the Rfam family "Bacterial small subunit ribosomal RNA", at positions 29 to 523 of the family's 1533-position model. The record is from RNAcentral.